CUUGUAGGCGGUUUGAUAAGUCCUGUGUGAAAUCCCUUGGCUUAACCAAGGAACUGCGCCGGAUACUGUCGAACUAGAGGCCGGGAGAGGGAAGCGGAAUUCCCAGUGUAGCGGUGAAAUGCGUAGAUAUUGGGAGGAACACCGGUGGCGAAGGCGGCUUCCUGGACCGGUUCUGACGCUGCAGAGCGAAAGCUAGGGUAGCAAACAGGAUUAGAUACCCUGGUAGUCCUAGCUGUAAACGAUGGGCGCUUGGUGUUGUGGGUAUCGACCCCCGCAGUGCCGAAGCUAACGCAUUAAGCGCCCCGCCUGGGGAGUACGGUCGCAAGGCUGAA
Molecule: ribosomal RNA, 332 nt
Filed under: uncultured bacterium
Lineage: Bacteria
Description: bacterial SSU rRNA
Rfam family: Bacterial small subunit ribosomal RNA
Source: RNAcentral